CCUACGGGAGGCAGCAGUGGGGAAUAUUGCACAAUGGGCGCAAGCCUGAUGCAGCCACGCCGCGUGUACGAUGAAGGCCUUCGGGUCGUAAAGCUCUGUCCUCAGGGAAGAUGUUUGCGGUGCCUGCAACGUCACCCCCGGCUAACUCCGGCCCAGCAGCCGCGGUAAUACGGAGGGUGCGCGCGUUAAUCGGAAUUACUGGGCGUAAAGCGCUCGUAGGCGGUAUGUCAAGUCACGGGUGAAAUCCCCGCGCUCAACGUGGGAACUGCAUUUGAAACUGGCAAACUGGAGUGUGUGAUAGGAGAGUGGAAUUCCAGGUGUAGGAGUGAAAUCCGUAGAUAUCUGGAGGAACAUCAGUGGCGAAGGCGA
Molecule: ribosomal RNA, 369 nt
Filed under: uncultured bacterium
Lineage: Bacteria
Description: partial 16S ribosomal RNA
Rfam family: Bacterial small subunit ribosomal RNA
Source: RNAcentral